CCUACGGGUUGCAGCAGUGGGGAAUAUUGCACAAUGGGCGCAAGCCUGAUGCAGCCAUGCCGCGUGUAUGAAGAAGGCCUUCGGGUUGUAAAGUACUUUCAGCGGGGAGGAAGGUGUAGUGGUUAAUAACCGCAGCAAUUGACGUUAGCCGCAGAAGAAGCACCGGCUAACUCCGUGCCAGCAGCCGCGGUAAUACGGAGGGUGCAAGCGUUAAUCGGAAUUACUGGGCGUAAAGCGCACGCAGGCGGUCUGUCGGGUCGGAUGUGAAAUCCCCGGGCUCAACCUGGGAACUGCAUUCGAAACUGGCAGGCUAGAGUCUUGUAGAGGGGGGUAGAAUUCCAGGUGUAGCGGUGAAAUGCGUAGAGAUCUGGAGGAAUACCGGUGGCGAAGGCGGCCCCCUGGACAAAGACUGACGCUCAGGUGCGAAAGCGUGGGGAGCAAACAGGAUUAGAUACCCCUGUAGUC
RNAcentral lists this ribosomal RNA (465 nucleotides) under uncultured bacterium. RNAcentral describes it as "bacterial SSU rRNA". It matches the Rfam family "Bacterial small subunit ribosomal RNA", at positions 338 to 795 of the family's 1533-position model. The record is from RNAcentral.